GGAUCGGUAGCUCAAUGGUAGAGUAGCGGCCUUUUAAGCCGUGGGUUCUGGGUUCGAGUCCCAGCCGAUCCACCA
This 75-nucleotide transfer RNA is filed under the name Planctomycetota bacterium. Its description in RNAcentral is "Planctomycetes bacterium (activated sludge metagenome) tRNA-Lys". It matches the Rfam family "tRNA". Rfam says of the family: Transfer RNA (tRNA) molecules are approximately 80 nucleotides in length. The record is from RNAcentral. Lineage: Bacteria; Pseudomonadati; Planctomycetota.